RNAcentral lists this ribosomal RNA (497 nucleotides) under uncultured bacterium. Its description in RNAcentral is "partial 16S ribosomal RNA". It matches the Rfam family "Bacterial small subunit ribosomal RNA", at positions 28 to 507 of the family's 1533-position model. The record is from RNAcentral.
GACGAACGCUGGCGGCGUGCCUAAUACAUGCAAGUCGAACGCUGAAGAGAGGAGCUUGCUCUUCUUGGAUGAUUUGCGAACGGGUGAGUAACGCGUAGGUAACCUGCCUUGUAGCGGGGGAUAACUAUUGGAAACGAUAGCUAAUACCGCAUAAUAAUUGAUGACUCAUGUCAUUUAUUUGAAAGGCGCAAAUGCUCCACUACAAGAUGGACCUGCGUUGUAUUAGCUAGUAGGUGAGGUAACGGCUUACCUAGGCGACGGUACAUAACCGGCCUGAGAAGGCGACCAGCCACACUGGGACUGAGACAAGGCCCAGGCUCCCUCGGGAGGGAACAGGAGGGAAACUUCGACAAUGGGGGGAACCCUGGACGAGCAAACGCGGGGGGAUGGAGGAAGUUAUCGGAUCGGAAAGCUCUGUUGUGAGUCAAGGACGAAAGUGGGAUUUGAAAGUGCACGCUGUGACGGUAGCUUACCAGAAAGGCACGGCUAACUACGUG